RNAcentral lists this non-coding RNA (26 nucleotides) under Canis lupus familiaris (dog). The record is from RNAcentral. Lineage: Eukaryota; Metazoa; Chordata; Mammalia; Carnivora; Canidae. RNAcentral also lists the same sequence under 5 other names.
ACAACCCUAGGAGAGGGUGCCAUUCA